UUCUCGGCGUACCGCUCAGUAACACGUGGGUAACCUGCCCUAUGCUGGAUAAUAACCUCGGGAAACUGAGAAUAAUGAUCCAUAGUUCACUACGCCUGGAACGGUGAGUGGAUGAAAGCUCCGGCGGCAUAGGAUGGGCCUGCGGCGUAUCAGGUUGUAGGGGGUGUAACGUACCCUCUAGCCCUCUACGCGUACGGGUGUUGGGAGACAUAGCCCGGAGAUGGAUUCUGAGACACGAAUCCAGACCCUACGGGGUGCAGCAGGCGCGAAAACUUGGCAAUGAGAGAAAUCGUGACCAGGGAACUCCAAGUGCAUCGGGUAAGACCGGUGCUUUUCUUGACUCUAAAUAGGUCUUGGAAUAAGGGGUGGGUAAGGACGGUGCCAGCCGCCGCGGUAAUACCGGCGCCUCAAGUGGUAGUCGCUUUUAUUGGGCCUAAAACGUCCGUAGCCGGUCUGAUACAUUCGUGGGUAAAUCAACCAGCUCAACUGGUUGAAUUCUGCGAGGACGGUCAGACUUGGGACCGGGAGAGGUGUGGGGUACGCUCAGGGUAGGGGUAAAAUCCUGUCAUCCUGAGCGGACCACCUGUUGCGAAGGCGCCACACUAGAACGGAUCCGACGGUCAGGGACGAAGCCUAGGGGCACGAACCGGAUUAGAUACCCGGGUAGUCCUAGGUGUAAACGCUGUGGACUUGAUGUUGGGGGUGCUCCGAGCACUCUCAGUGUCGAAGCGAAGGUGAUAAGUCCACUGCCUGGGAAGUACGGUCGCAAGGCUGAAACUUAAAGGAAUUGGCGGGGGAGCACCGCAACCUGAGGAUUGUGCGGUUUAAUUGGAUUCAACGCCGGA
Molecule: ribosomal RNA, 845 nt
Filed under: uncultured Candidatus Poseidoniales archaeon
Lineage: Archaea; Methanobacteriati; Thermoplasmatota; Candidatus Poseidoniia; Candidatus Poseidoniales
Description: bacterial SSU rRNA
Rfam family: Archaeal small subunit ribosomal RNA
Source: RNAcentral